GAAGAGCGAGGCUCGCUCAGCAUCUCGCCCUGCUCUGCUAGGAGAGGAGCUGGGUUUCACCCGCGCCUGCCCGGCCUUUCCCUUUAAGACAGCAGAUUGCGUGUGUUUUGGUAUCUUCCCCUUCCUAAGAUAAUGGCUGUUUGUUUUGUUCCUCAAGACUGCACACUCCCCCAAGGUCAAGCUGUUUUCUUUCUGGCUUCAGUUACUUACCUCUGAACCUUGAAAGGCAGAAGACAAACGCUCAGUUGGAGAGAACGCCAUCCCUCUCAGACCCGCUCUUAAAAGACACUUCCAGAACUGAAGCACAAGGUCACUUUCUGAACGGGACACCAAGGGCAGCAGUCUGCAGAAUGACGAGGUCACCGUUUACGGCACUCCAUCAAACCCAGAGCUCAUCUAUUAUAAUGAUCUCAGUGGCCAGUUUACUCUGUGGAUCCAGAGUCUGCAGAACCAGGCUGAAAUAUGGCUUGCUCUGCCAGUCUAGCGUUAUAAUCUAGGAUUCCGGAGAUCCAUCACUCUGGGGUCAGACUCCAGGCCCUCUCGCCUAUGUGACAAGUGCCUUUCCAUAGCUAGCUGAGAAAAGGCCCUGCUUUGUGUUUUGGAUGGUAGAAGAGCAUUGCAGGCUUUGAAAGAGCUGGGCUCACUGUUGAGAGAGUUCACGGA
This 663-nucleotide long non-coding RNA is filed under the name Mus pahari (shrew mouse). Its description in RNAcentral is "lncRNA (MGP_PahariEiJ_G0005244.1)". The record is from RNAcentral. Lineage: Eukaryota; Metazoa; Chordata; Mammalia; Rodentia; Muridae.